UCACUUUGGCAGUGCAUAUACUAAAAUUGGAGUGAUAAGGAGAAGAUUAGUGUGGACCCUUUGCAAGAAUGAUACGUUAGUGAAAUGUUACAUAUUCUU
Molecule: small nuclear RNA, 99 nt
Organism: Dipodomys ordii (Ord's kangaroo rat)
Lineage: Eukaryota; Metazoa; Chordata; Mammalia; Rodentia; Heteromyidae
Source: Ensembl